Molecule: ribosomal RNA, 467 nt
Filed under: uncultured soil bacterium
Lineage: Bacteria
Description: bacterial SSU rRNA
Rfam family: Bacterial small subunit ribosomal RNA
Source: RNAcentral
AGGACGAACGCUGGCGGCGCGUUUCACACAUGCAAGUCGAGGGACGAAACCACUUCGGUGGUGGAAACCGGCGAACGGGUGAGUAACACGUGAGGAACCCACCCUGCACACUGGGAUAACUCCGGGAAACCGGAGCUAAUACCGGAUACUCCGCGCGGACCGCAUGGUCUGCUCGGGAAAGCUCCGGCGGUGCAGGACGGCCUCGCGGCCUAUCAGGUAGUUGGUGAGGUAAUGGCUCACCAAGCCUACGACGGGUAGCUGGAGUGAGAGCUCGAUCAGCCACACUGGGACUGAGACACGGCCCAGACUCCUACGGGAGGCAGCAGUGGAGAAUCUUGCACAAGUGGGCGCAAGCCUGAUGCAGCGACGCCGCGUGAGGGAAGAGGCUUCGAGUUAGUAACUUCUUCGAGUGGUAGAAGAAGACGAAGCGACGGUAGCCAACAGAAGAAGCCUCCGGACCAACUACG